UUUCCAAACCCAGAAAACAGACGGAAUUCUAGGAUUCCUCCUUGAGGCAAAUACUUUUAUGCAUACCUCUUCCGAUUGGUCUAUACCAUACUCUAUUCUCGUAAUAUGAUAGACACUAGCUAACAGUCCGCCUGGUGCUACAUCAUAAGCACAUUGGGAACGUAGAUAAGUGUAACCAUAUACAUAUAAAAUGACAGCAAUCGAAUGCCAAUCCUCGGGUUUUAUUUGUAAAGUUUAUAUUCCUUGGUAAUUGAAGCCCAAAGAUCUAUGAACUUUGUCCAAAAGAAGGCUUAAAAUAGUUCCCAACUUUUUAAAUAUAAUAAACAAGUUGUAUUUAAAAAAUAAAAUCUUGUUCGACUCUUCAGCGCAUUAUUUUCCUAAUUAGACUAUUUUAUGCAACGCUAUUGAAUUUAAGCCGUACAAAGACAAUGAGUAACAUAAUUAAAUAUUAAUAUUUGUUAUUUGUAACAUUUAAAUUUAAAAUCUUUAACGUACAAAACCAGUGUAGAUGAAUACGAGUAAGUUAACUGUAAUUCUAAUAACCUAUUUACUAUUGUUAGGAAAAAUAUCCUUAACAAUGAGGGUAUCUAAAUCAUUAUCUUUAUCAUCAUCUAAAAGUUAUUUCUAAAUUUUUAUUUGAUUUGUAAACUAUUUAAAGAUUCAUGUAAGUCAAAUAAAUCGAUAAAAUUGAUAUCCUUAAGAAAAGGGCAAUGGUGAUAAAAGUCAUAAGAAAAUUUGACAAAAACCCAUGUAAGUGCUUUAAAUAAUGGUAAAUUGAGAAGACACCAAAAAGCAAUUGGAAAUCAAGCCUAGGACCAGUGAUUCCCCUCCCUCUAGUCCUGUCAAAAAUGAUGGAAUUCGAUUUGCUGCUCUGGUUUCAUUGUGUUGCACAGCAAAGCUGGGCAAAGGAUUAUAAUUUUUUAUUUUAAAUUCAAGCCAAAACGCCGACGUUUUAGUCCUGGUAAGAAAAAUUUAAAAUUCCGACAACAACGUUUUGCUUUAUUGAGUUUUAAAAAAUUAAAUAAUUAUAAUAGGGGGAACCACUGAUCCCCCAUUACCUCUUCACACUCACACACCCUUCCCCUUUCCCAUUUCAAAACUAAUGGAGCAGCAAAAUGUGCCCCCAAACUCAUAAUUCACAAUUGAGGAAAUUGUAUUAAUGGUCCAUCAACUUUAAUUCAAUUGGAGUAACGUCCUUCAAUUUUAUUUCCAUGACCAUUAAUACCUCAACUCGUCAAAAUGUAUAGCUAUAGUCAUUUUCGUUACCACCGUCAAUAGUUCCGUUCAAUUCAGUCAACACGUGAGACUGAUUUUAAAGGCAAAUAAGGAAACAUAUUAUUUUCCAAGGGUUGAAAUCGAUUGAACGCAAAACCCAUCCCCAAUUGAAACUUCCUCCAUGCCCAAUCUCAUAGUCUUCAAAUUCUCACCAUGUUGACCAAUCCUAUAGGAGAUAUGAAAAAGUAUUUUAUAUUCCUAUUGGAAGUAGAUUACCUGUUGUAAUCCUAAGGGAAAGAUUUCUACCUAUCAUACUACUAUAAAUAAAGGCACAAUAGGGUGAAUCAAACACACGUCACAAUUAAAUCAAUCUCUCUUCUCUCUAAUUGUGGUCGGCCCUCUCUCUCUCUAAACCCUAGAUCGUUAAAUCAAAUAGGCCUAUAAAACUUUUCUGAUUUUAAAUUAAGAAUCUCUCUCUUUCUCCCUCUCUCUCCAACAGUUCAAAUUUCUAGAUUUUUUAACUCCGACCACAAAAAUAUCGAUUUGGUUUGGAAAUUAUGUGGGGUUAUGGAAAUUUUUUUUUCUUAAUUUUGGGUUUAUUUUGUAAACAACGCUUAGCCCAUUUCCCUUUUCCAAACCCAGAAAACAAACGGAAUUCUAGGAUUCCUCCUUGAGGCAAAUACUUUUAUGCAUACCUCUUCCGGUUGAUCUAUACCAUACUCUAUUCUCGUAAGAUGAUAGACACUAGCUAACAGUCCGCCUGGUGCUACAUCAUAAGCACAUUGGGAGCGUAGAUAACUGUAACCAUAUACAUAUAAACAUGACAGCAAUCGAAUGCCAAUCCUCGGGUUUUAUUUGUAAAGCUUAUAUUCCUUGGUAAUCGAAGCCCAAAGAUCUAUGAACU
Molecule: long non-coding RNA, 2119 nt
Filed under: Malus domestica (apple)
Lineage: Eukaryota; Viridiplantae; Streptophyta; Magnoliopsida; Rosales; Rosaceae
Description: long non-coding RNA (MDOM_LNC010880)
Source: RNAcentral